UGGUGUGGUAGUUUCUUUCUUUGUUGAGUUUUCAAAUGGGUCUGACUCUACAACAUACACUGUAAGGAGCUAGCAAAAGCUUAAAAACUGAAAUAUCUCUCUUGAGCUUUUUUUGUAUCAGAUAGUGGCUCUCACAAUC
Molecule: small nucleolar RNA, 139 nt
Organism: Cavia aperea (Brazilian guinea pig)
Lineage: Eukaryota; Metazoa; Chordata; Mammalia; Rodentia; Caviidae
Source: Ensembl